AAAAGCCAAUAGGGGUGCCGAAAAUCGGCUGAGAAGGACUCAAGGUCCUACCCUUGAACCUGACCUGGGUAAUACCGGCGUAGGGAAUUGGCUUUUAGUAUAC
This 103-nucleotide non-coding RNA is filed under the name Natranaerobius trueperi. RNAcentral describes it as "TPP sequence". It matches the Rfam family "TPP riboswitch aptamer (THI element)". From Rfam's summary of the family: Vitamin B(1) in its active form thiamin pyrophosphate (TPP) is an essential coenzyme that is synthesised by coupling of pyrimidine and thiazole moieties in bacteria. The previously detected thiamin-regulatory element, thi box was extended, resulting in a new, highly conserved RNA secondary structure, the THI element, which is widely distributed in eubacteria and also occurs in some archaea. The record is from Rfam by way of RNAcentral. Lineage: Bacteria; Bacillati; Bacillota; Clostridia; Natranaerobiales; Natranaerobiaceae.